Molecule: ribosomal RNA, 374 nt
Filed under: uncultured bacterium
Lineage: Bacteria
Description: bacterial SSU rRNA
Rfam family: Bacterial small subunit ribosomal RNA
Source: RNAcentral
GACGAACCGUGCGAACGUUGUUCGGAAUCACUGGGCUUAAAGGGCGCGUAGGCGGGUUCUCAAGUCUGGAGUGAAAGCCCACGGCUCAACCGUGGAAGCGCUUCGGAUACUGGGGGCCUCGAGGGAGGUAGGGGCGUGCGGAACUUCCGGUGGAGCGGUGAAAUGCGUAGAUAUCGGAAGGAACACCGGUGGCGAAAGCGGCGCGCUGGACCUCUUCUGACGCUGAGGCGCGAAAGCCAGGGGAGCAAACGGGAUUAGAUACCCCGGUAGUCCUGGCCCUAAACGUUGGGUACUAGGUUGUGGGCUUACAUGGGCUCACAGCCGGAGCAAAAGUGUUAAGUACCCCGCCUGGGGAGUAUGGUCGCAAGGCUGAA